CAUUUCAAGGAAGAUGUUUUCCCCACAAUUCUUUGCCUCUGAGUCAUUUUAGAAAUCAGGAAUUCUUGACAGACCUCUUCAAAGGUACAUGUUCAACUGCUUCCUGGGGCAGAAGGCAAGGAUUUGUGCAACAUGAGCCUAUAUAUGCCAAUUUCCAAUGUUGCAACACCACUGACUCAUAAGAAAGGAUAGUCUACUGAAUCACCAUCAUCCCUUCUGCCAGCUGACAGAGGUCUCUUAUCCAUGAGGUAAUUCAGUUUGAUUCCAUUUAGAGGAGAAGAUUGAACAAGAGAGAAGGAAAUAUUUUAUCUUGGAUCACCAGGAGUCUUAUUUAAUAGAAGAUUCUGCAAUAAAGGAUGAAGCUGUUUAUAAAUCCAGGAUUGGUGGUGGUCUCCAGAAACAGAUUCUUGUCCAAGACUCUGCUGGCUUGCUCGUACAACCUGAAAUAAAUUCUUCAGACAGCCGCCCAAGCCGUGAUAGCUCUAUGGUACCUCUCAACAAAAGAGGAAAGGGAAAGCAAAUGUUUCUGUCUGCUUCAUCCCUGAAAAUGAGAGAUGAGACACGUAAUUAGCUUUUCUCAAAUUUUCCAAGAACCUGUCAGUGAAAAUAAGUAUGUCGGCAGAGAAAGGAAGCAUCUUUGGCCAAGACUUCACCUCAGCAUCUAUUAUUAUACAGUGAAACAUUUUAAUUAACGGAAAGGCUAUCAGCCAUCAGGAACAACUGAGGUCUUUCAUGCCAGUGACAAAACACUAGUAUUUCCUGGCGUAAAGUCAGAAAUCAAAAGCUGAUGCAAAAACCAGAAGAAACAAAAUUUCCCAAUGUGUUUUGUACAAGAAAAACUAGCUACCCUGUAUAGCCACUAAGCAAACAGGCUUAAGAGGUUUGGUGAGAAGGCACAGGAUUCAUUCCCAACAUGGGCACAGCAGCACCCAUAGUUACUAGUGCUGGCAAUUACUCCAAUCUCCUGGGUAUUGCCUACCAGCAUCACAUAGGGAUGUAAUUCGCAGUUUGGUGCUGGUUUGGUUGUCAUUUUGACAAA
This is a long non-coding RNA of Rhineura floridana, 1039 nucleotides long. RefSeq lists it as uncharacterized. NCBI's taxonomy places the organism in Eukaryota, Metazoa, Chordata, Lepidosauria, Squamata, Rhineuridae. The record is from RefSeq and is a predicted model, not a curated record. The transcript is spliced from 3 exons.